RNAcentral lists this ribosomal RNA (467 nucleotides) under uncultured bacterium. Its description in RNAcentral is "partial 16S ribosomal RNA". It matches the Rfam family "Bacterial small subunit ribosomal RNA", at positions 28 to 507 of the family's 1533-position model. The record is from RNAcentral.
GAUGAACGCUGACAGAAUGCUUAACACAUGCAAGUCAACUUGAAUUUGGGUUUUUAACUUAGGUUUGGGUGGCGGACGGGUGAGUAACGCGUAAAGAACUUGCCUCACAGCUAGGGACAACAUUUGGAAACGAAUGCUAAUACCUAAUAUUAUGAUAAUAGGGCAUCCUAUAAUUAUGAAAGCUAUAAGCGCUGUGAGAGAGCUUUGCGUCCCAUUAGCUAGUUGGAGAGGUAACGGCUCACCAAGGCGAUGAUGGGUAGCCGGCCUGAGAGGGUGAUCGGCUACAAGGGGACUGAGACACGGCCCUUACUCCUACGGGAGGCAACAGUGGGGAAUAUUGGACAAUGGACCGAGAGUCUGAUCCAGCAAUUCUGUGUGCACGAUGAAGUUUUUCGGAAUGUAAAGUGCUUUCAGUUGGGAAGAAACAAAUGACGGUACCAACAGAAGAAGUGACGGCUAAAUACGUG